UCUGACACCCCCGGGAGUGCACACGAGUGCGCUGAGAGGACGGCUGAGCGGCCGUCGACCGGAUGAACCUGACCGGGUAAUGCCGGCGUAGGGAGAAGGGAUAUCCGCAUG
This 111-nucleotide non-coding RNA is filed under the name Mycolicibacterium phlei. RNAcentral's name for it is "Mycobacterium phlei TPP sequence". It matches the Rfam family "TPP riboswitch aptamer (THI element)". Rfam says of the family: Vitamin B(1) in its active form thiamin pyrophosphate (TPP) is an essential coenzyme that is synthesised by coupling of pyrimidine and thiazole moieties in bacteria. The previously detected thiamin-regulatory element, thi box was extended, resulting in a new, highly conserved RNA secondary structure, the THI element, which is widely distributed in eubacteria and also occurs in some archaea. The record is from RNAcentral. RNAcentral also lists the same sequence under 1 other name. Lineage: Bacteria; Bacillati; Actinomycetota; Actinomycetes; Mycobacteriales; Mycobacteriaceae.